CCUACGGGAGGCAGCAGUGGGGAAUAUUGGUCAAUGGGCGCAAGCCUGACCCAGCAACGCCGCGUGAAGGAAGAAGGCUUUCCGGUUUUAAACUUCUUUUUUCAGGGAAGAGUAGCAGACUGUACCUGCCGACUCAGCCACGGCUAACUACUUGCCAGCAGCCGCGGUCAUACGUAGGUGGCAAGCGUUGUCCGGCUUUACUGGGUGUAAAGGGCGUGUAGCCGGGUUGACAAGUCAGAUGUGAAAUCCUGCGGCUUAACCGCAGAACUGCAUUUGAAACUGUUGAUCUUGAGUACUGGAGAGGUAGACGGAAUGCGGAGUGUAGCGGUGAAAUGCGUAGAUAUUAGGAGGAACACCAGUGGCGAAGGCGGUCUGCUGGACAGCAACUGACGGUGAGGCGCGAAAGCGUGGGGAGCAAACAGGAUUAGAUACCCGAGUAGUC
This 442-nucleotide ribosomal RNA is filed under the name uncultured bacterium. RNAcentral's name for it is "partial 16S ribosomal RNA". It matches the Rfam family "Bacterial small subunit ribosomal RNA", at positions 338 to 795 of the family's 1533-position model. The record is from RNAcentral.